AUGCGGCUAAGAGAACUCCCGUUACACCUUGAGUUAGAGCAUACACGUUACAUAUGCAAGGAGGCGGCCCGGGGCAAGCACGGUGGGGCGGCUGUGGUGGAGUCAUUGGGCGGCCCCUCCCUGCUCGCCCCACCACGCAGGCUUGCCCAGGAGCAGAGGCCUGCUGUUGACCUAGCUAGAGAGCCGGAGGCACUAGCGGACCCGGUUGAGGAGUUCUCCCAAGGAGCAAAGAAGAGCCUCCCUCCCCCGCCCCGUCCAAACGACAUGGCCUCACAGAUCGACAAGGUGAUCGCCGCCAAGCUAGACAAGCUACUCUGCUUCAACGACGAGGAUGACGGAUGCAGCGGCGAAUCCUUGGACAUGGGACCGGCCCUGUCCCUGGCCCGUCACACUCCAUUGGCGGUGGACACGCACGAGGUGCAGCUGGGAGAGGUCACACAGAGGGUCACGGAGAUGCACCUCCAGGGGGAAGGAGAAGAUGCAGUGCAGCAGCCCCUCUUCACCAAGCCGAAGCCGGCGAUCAUCGGGAAGCCACCGGUAAGAGACAAGACCCCGCUCAAGGCCAGGCCGCAUGCCAAGCCAGUCAGGCAGAGUGCCCGGCAGGCUGAGAACCCCUCCUCUGUGCCGGUCUCGCAGCGGGGAACGCUCCGACUGGUGCAGGGGCUCGGUGUUCUAGGGCUAAAGGAGAAGAUGACGGCACAGGCGGUGGAAGCCCUCAUUCGCCGUUUUGAUGAAUCCCUCUCGGACGACGAUAUUGCUGCCAUUGCAAAGCUCACCAGCCUCGACCCCCGCAUGCUCAAGGUGAUCGCCGGCCUGCCAAGCCAGCAAGGAGAUGCCUCUGAGCCCCGUUCCCCAUGUUAG
RNAcentral lists this ribosomal RNA (861 nucleotides) under Triticum aestivum (bread wheat). Its description in RNAcentral is "partial small subunit ribosomal RNA". The record is from RNAcentral. Lineage: Eukaryota; Viridiplantae; Streptophyta; Magnoliopsida; Poales; Poaceae.